UACGAAAGGUGCAAGCGUUACUCGGAAUCACUGGGCGUAAAGCGCACGUAGGCGGACUCGUAGGUCAGUUGUGAAAUACCUGGGCUCAACCUGGGAACUGCAGUUGAAACUACUUGUCUUGAAUACCUGAGAGGGUGGGGGAAUACCUGGUGGAGAAGUGAAAUUCGUAGAGAUCAGGAGGAACACCGGAGGCGAAGGCGCCUGCCUGGCAGUGUAUUGACGCUGAGGUGCGAAAGUGCGGGGAGCAAACAGG
Molecule: ribosomal RNA, 253 nt
Filed under: uncultured bacterium
Lineage: Bacteria
Description: partial 16S ribosomal RNA
Rfam family: Bacterial small subunit ribosomal RNA
Source: RNAcentral